AACGAACGCUGGCGGCGUGCCUAACACAUGCAAGUCGAGCGAUGAAGCACCUUCGGGUGUGCAUUAGCGCCGAACGGGUGAGGAACACGUGAGGAAUCUGCCUUUCUCUUCGGGAUAACUCCGGGAAACCGGGGCUAAUACCGGAUAUUUUCAACUGGCAGCAUCGCCGGUUGAAGAAAGCUUUGCGGUGAAAGAUGGCCUGGCGGCGUAUCAGCUUGUUGGUGGGGGAAGGGCUCACCAAGGCGACGAUCGGUAGCCGGCCUGGGAGGUCGACCGGCCACGCGAGGACUGAGAGACGGCCCAGACGCGUACGGGAGGCAGCGGUGGGGAAUAUUGGACAAUGGAGGAGACUCUGAGCCGGCGACGCCGCGUGAGGGAUGAAGGCCUUGGGGUUGGAAACCUCUUUCGGCAGAGAAUAAGCGAAAGUGAAGGUACCUGCAGAAGAAGCACCGGCUAACUAUGUGCCAGCCGCCGCCGUAA
This 480-nucleotide ribosomal RNA is filed under the name uncultured bacterium. RNAcentral describes it as "partial 16S ribosomal RNA". It matches the Rfam family "Bacterial small subunit ribosomal RNA", at positions 29 to 523 of the family's 1533-position model. The record is from RNAcentral.